Araneus ventricosus is the source of this 82-nucleotide non-coding RNA. NCBI's taxonomy places the organism in Eukaryota, Metazoa, Arthropoda, Arachnida, Araneae, Araneidae. The record is from the annotation of a GenBank genome assembly.
GCAGCCGUGGCCAAGUGGUUAAGAUGAUGGACUCGAAAUCCAUUGGGGUUUCCCCGCGUAAUUCCGAAUCUUACUGGCUGCG